UCGUUGUUCUCGCUGUAGUGAGUAAGACGACUGACCAAACCAGAUGCAUAGGUAGCUUACAAACCUUCGAUUAUGUUGUAACAGCACGGCACACUCUGUACGUUGCGUCGGUAGGCGUUUAGUCAUACGUGUACGGAGACUGCGCUUACUGAACUGGGAAUCGACCUCGACUGCCAUUGAGAGGUAGUCCGCAACAAGCAAAUUAGGAGGAGGGUUUCCCUAACCUCUCCUAAAACCGAACAUCCCCUAGAUUAGGGGGAGUUUGGGACGGUAAGGGGAAGCUUUUGGUGGAGUUGGCUUGUUCCGGAGUUCGUACCGUCCAAGACGGCUGAAGGUACCGGUUCCAACAAGAGAAGUAACUCGUUCGCGUUAAUUUGUCCCCUCCUUCCUCAACUUUCAAGUCAUCGCAAUUACACUAACCCAAGUCUUACGUAAGGUGUGAGAGAGGUGCGAGAAGUAGAGGUCGUGUCCAAGACGCUGACGAGGUGACGAAUCGUCGUCGGUACAGAACGCAGAGGAAGAUCCAAUCUCUCUUUAACACACACUAAUCGUCCGCCGACCUGGUCCGCCUAAGGUGUCUGCCUGCCUUGAGUUGAGCGGUAGAAGACUCGCUUAAGUCUGGGUCGCAGGGUCGGUUAGGCUAUCACUCCCGUCUCGUCCUCCUCCGUGCGCAACUUCGGCGCCCGUGGGUACCUUUGCGUACUCGGAAGACCAGUAGCAGAGUCGCUGACCCAAGUACCUCCCGUCGUCGUGCAGCAGAGGACCUCGCUAUAGUAAUCACCCUAUCCGGCAUCGGAAAAGUAGUUUACGGAGGAUGCCGACAGGUCCAGUCUGAUACCAAGGCACCGUACGAACUUGGCGCUGAAGUUAAACGACCAGGCGUCACCCCUCUAGAUGACGAACGCAGCGUUGUUGCCGCAUCGCCUCAUAACCGAGAUGAAGAGGACGUUGGGAGACGUCACCCUACGAAUGCUGGGCGUGGCACCCGCGACCUAGGUUCACGGGUUCUAUGGUGGUCUGUUUACGAAGUACACGAGACUGUUCCUCAGGGAACGACAGCCUUGGCUCGACAACCACAAACCCUACCGUGUGUAACACAUGUCUAUAUCGUAGGAUUGGUUAAGUACCUGUUCCCGACUAGGCUACUUGAGCGGCGCCACGGACAAGCCUAGCUGUUCACAGCCACUUUUCCGUAUACAACGCCCCCCGUCGCUAAGAAGACCUUCUUAUGACUCGAGGCGCCUCUACAUACUGAGCCUCUGUGUAUGAACCUGUGGGGAAGGAACGUACUUAUUCCGAUCCUUCAACACAAGACCGUGUAAGUACCUACCUUUCAAGAAACACUAACCACCACAAUGGUUGUUGUUGUUCCACAACCGUACACCACUCCUUAUACUGAACCUCACCGCCAGAACCUCCCAGUAGUUGUUGUACAGGCUCCCGGAGAUACCUCACCGUCCACGAGGAGGUGAAUAACGGCGACAGUUGUUAGUCGAAAUACAUCGACUAAUGUCACUGUUCCUACACUUCUCUAUACUGUUCGACUUAUUAUCCACCUAGUGAGAACCUUUUAACGGACUUGUUACGCACAGUUUGCUAAGAACGCCGUAACGAAAGUCUCGGACACCACUAGCCGACCAACAGUAACCUCCAGGAUCCUGAAUAUGACCACCGUGCUAACUCGAUGUAAGUACCUAGGGCCUAGUCGUUGGCGGACACACCUUAAACCAACGAUUUGCCAGUAGGUUCUCGAAGCAAAUAUUGUACCGGCACUACCCAACGACUCAGGCGACUUAUUUCUCGCUUACACCACCUAUAAAUACUUAUUUCUAAUAGGAGACAGGAAGAACUUAUAAACACAAUAAUCGAAAUUAAGACCGGCUCAACGAAAAAAAAUGACGAAUACACAUUACACUAAGUUCUACCAGGAGAAAUAGAACGAACAAUAACAAAGUCAAAAUUCAGCUACCAGGAGAACUAGAAAGUAGAAGUUAUGGGAUGAUCAUAAAGACUUGUAGUUCAAGUCACAGAUCGAAACGGGAGAAGGACAACUUCUGACAAGCUUAGGACUUAAUUAUUUUAAGAUUUAAGAGG
Molecule: ribosomal RNA, 2094 nt
Filed under: Triticum aestivum (bread wheat)
Lineage: Eukaryota; Viridiplantae; Streptophyta; Magnoliopsida; Poales; Poaceae
Description: partial small subunit ribosomal RNA
Source: RNAcentral